UUUCCGGUUGAUCCUGCCGGACCUGACUGCUAUCGGAUUGAUACUAAGCCAUGCGAGUCUUUGCAGUAAUGCAAGGCGGACUGCUCAGUAACACGUAGUCAACUUAACCUAUGGAUGGGUAUAACCUCGGGAAACUGAGAAUAAUUCCCAAUAGAUCAUUUAUCCUGGAAUGGUUGAUGAUUGAAAUGAUUCGUCGCCAUAGGAUAGGACUGCGGCCUAUCAGCUUGUUGGUGAGGUAAAGGCCCACCAAGGCUAUUACAGGUACGGGCUCUGAGAGGAGAAGCCCGGAGAUGGGUACUGAGACACGGACCCAGGCCCUAUGGGGCGCAGCAGGCGAGAAAACUUUGCAAUGUGCGAAAGCACGACAAGGUUAAUCCGAGUGAUUUCUGCUAAAGAAAUCUUUUGCCAGUCCUAAAAACACUGGUGAAUAAGGGGUGGGCAAGUUCUGGUGUCAGCCGCCGCGGUAAAACCAGCACCUCAAGUUGUCAGGAGGAUUAUUGGGCCUAAAGCAUCCGUAGCCGGCUCUGUGAGUUUUCGGUUAAAUCCAUAUGCUCAACAUAUGGGCUGUCGGAAAUACUGCAGAGCUAGGGAAUGGGAGAGGUAGACGGUACUUGGUAGGAAGGGGUAAAAUCCUUUGAUCUAUCGAUGACCACCUGUGGCGAAGGCGGUCUACCAGAACAUGUUCGACGGUGAGGGAUGAAAGCUGGGGGAGCAAACCGGAUUAGAUACCCGGGUAGUCCCAGCUGUAAACGAUGCAGACUCGAUGAUGCAUUAGCAUAUAGCUAAUG
Molecule: ribosomal RNA, 788 nt
Filed under: uncultured Nitrososphaerota archaeon
Lineage: Archaea; Thermoproteati; Nitrososphaerota
Description: bacterial SSU rRNA
Rfam family: Archaeal small subunit ribosomal RNA
Source: RNAcentral